UACGGAGGGCGCAAGCGUUGUUCGGAAUCACUGGGCGUAAAGCGCGUGUAGGCGGCCGGGCAAGUCGGGUGUGAAAUCCCGAGGCUCAACCUCGGAACUGCACUCGAAACUGCUCGGCUCGAGUCCCGGAGAGGAUGGCGGAAUUCCCGGUGUAGGGGUGAAAUCCGUAGAUAUCGGGAGGAACACCGGUGGCGAAGGCGGCCUUCUGGACAGUGACCGACGCUGAGACGCGAAAGCGUGGGGAGCAAACAGG
Molecule: ribosomal RNA, 253 nt
Filed under: uncultured bacterium
Lineage: Bacteria
Description: partial 16S ribosomal RNA
Rfam family: Bacterial small subunit ribosomal RNA
Source: RNAcentral